AUGAAGGCGCGGCGGUUCUUGAAUGUGGUGAUGCGGAGAUCCAGCAGUGGCAGCCUGUACACGGUGAGCCGCAUCAAGCCCGGGGAGCAUCUCUUCUACCCAUCCACGGCGGAAGCACGGGCGCCAGCAGCAGCGCAACCCACGGAGGAGAAUACGCCGCCGCCAUCACCAGCGGUUGCUCCGAAGAUGCCACCGCCCAGGCUCAAAUUCGAAGCGUACCGCGUAGACGGCCCAAGGCUCGACUUUUUGCCCUUCUACGGACGAGGCGGCGGCGGCGAUGGUAAGAUCCUCUCCAUGGACUCGGCAGGCAACACCGUCCUCUGCGACGCCGGCAGCUGCUCCGUCCAGCCCGUUGCCGGCCUCAACGAACCCAAGGGUGACAGCCCCGUCUCCUUCUCCAUCGCUCAUGCGGAGACCUCCGGUCAGGCCUUGUACGUCAUGGACAGGUUCCCGGCUCCCCACAAUGCUUUCAACUUCGAAGCCCUCAUCUACGGCAAGAAAUGCUGGGAGUGGCACCGGCUCCCGCCGCCGCCCUACGUCAACGACGCAGCCUAUGAGUGCACGGCCAUCCAGUCCUACAUGCUGCUGGGUGAUGGCUCGACUAUCUGCGUGUCCUCCGCUGGGCUCAUCGGCACCUACUGCUUCGACACCGUUAGCUGCACCUUGGAAAAGGCUGGCCGCUGGACCCUGCCAUUCCAUGGACGGGCUGAGCAUGUCCCUGAGCUUCGCAACCUCUGGUUCGGCAUGGCCGGCAACAACGCCAACAGCUUGUGCGCAUUGGACCUCUCCAACCUUGGCAGGGCUCCCAACUUGCUGCAUAACUGGCAAAUCCUUGACAAUCCCGAUGGAUGGGUGCAGAUAAGCCGUAGCCUGCUGUACCUUGGAGCCGGCAGGUUUUGCAUCUUCGGAAAAUUUGACACCGGGGAGCAAGAUGCCCAGGGCAAUCCCAGCAACAGGGCGGCUGUGCUCACUGGUGUGGAGGUGGUCCACGGAGGAUCAUCUGAACUAGAAAUGAUCAAGCACAAGUCCUUUGUCAGCUAUGCCGGCAUCCAGUGUGUUCUUUAA
RNAcentral lists this ribosomal RNA (1065 nucleotides) under Triticum aestivum (bread wheat). RNAcentral describes it as "partial small subunit ribosomal RNA". The record is from RNAcentral. Lineage: Eukaryota; Viridiplantae; Streptophyta; Magnoliopsida; Poales; Poaceae.